CCCAUCGCAAAAAAUCCCUCGAGAAGCAGUAAACCUAGGCGACGGCGGCGCGCCAAGCAGGCGGACGAUGACAUCUCAACGGAGGCCCUCUUGCUGGGUGCCUGGGUUCCUGCCCAUGGAUCUUCGUCGUCGCGCUGAUGGCGGCCGGUCGCUGACGAAGGAAAUGGAACCCAAUGAAGGGAUCCUGAAAGUCCAUGGUACACACAUGUCAGCAACAUUUCUUUGGAAAAAUCACAUAAAAAGGGUCCCAAGAUGUAGUCCACCGAGACAGUAGAAUUGUUCUUAUCUGAUAGACCUUGUCAUCAGCAAAAAAAGGUGUUUUGUGAAUGGAAGCAGUGGGUUGAAGUUUAUCUGGAGCAGGGCAUUGUGGCACACCGUGCACUGUCCUAUUCAUCAUUUCAGAGGGUGCCAUCUUGAUGUCUGCAUUCACCCACACCGCCUACUUUAUCUUAGAUCUCCAAUGAAUUGGUAUACUCCAUAUAUUACUGAUGUCCACAGUUUGGCGAAUUUUGAAAAAUGUUAAGCUGCACUCCUGUAAUCUAGCGUUUUCCUAUAUUAUAUCGGUAAUAUAUGUGAACAUGUUUAAUAGUUGGGCAAAAAGUUUCAGUUGAUUGUAACUGCUUCAUCGUAGAAAUAAACAUGCAUAUAUAUGCUACUUCAA
Triticum dicoccoides is the source of this 661-nucleotide long non-coding RNA. RefSeq lists it as uncharacterized. The record is from RefSeq and is a predicted model, not a curated record. NCBI's taxonomy places the organism in Eukaryota, Viridiplantae, Streptophyta, Magnoliopsida, Poales, Poaceae. The transcript is spliced from 4 exons.